This 468-nucleotide ribosomal RNA is filed under the name uncultured bacterium. Its description in RNAcentral is "partial 16S ribosomal RNA". It matches the Rfam family "Bacterial small subunit ribosomal RNA", at positions 28 to 507 of the family's 1533-position model. The record is from RNAcentral.
GACGAACGCUGGCGGCGUGCUUAACACAUGCAAGUCGAACGGAAAGGCCCUGCUUUUGUGGGGUGCUCGAUUGGCGAACGGGUGAGUAACACGUGAGUAACCUGCCCUUGACUUUGGGAUAACUUCAGGAAACUGGGGCUAAUACCGGAUAGGAGCUCCUGCUGCAUGGUGGGGGUUGGAAAGUUUCGGCGGUUGGGGCUGGACUCGCGGCUUAUCAGCUUGUUGGUGGGGUAGUGGCUUACCAAGGCUUUGACGGGUAGCCGGCCUGAGAGGGUUACCGGCGACAUUGGGACUGAGAUACGGCCCAGAAUCCUACGGGAGGCAGCAGUGGGGAAUAUUGCACAAUGGGCGGAAGCCUGAUGCAGAAACGCCGCGUGCGGGAUGACGGCCUUCGGGUUGUAAACCGAUUUCGCAUGUGACGAAGCGUGAGUGACGGUAAUGGGUAAAGAAGCACCGGCUAACUACGUG